GGCGCUUCUUCUCUUGCCUGCUGCCGUGCAAGACACGCCUUUCACCUUCCGCCGUGAUCAUGAGGCCUCCCUAGCUACGUGGAACUGUCAGGUUUCCUCACAGAGCAGUGGCACCGGAGAUAAGGCACAGCUGGUCACACCACCUGGGAUGUUCUGGGACUUCAGAAGUGGCCUCAUGCUUAGAGGUCCUCACUACCCAAGGCGUGGUCCUCAGACAUCACCCGGGAGCUGGUUAUAAAUGGAGAGUCUCAGGCCCCGCCCUGGAGGCCCUGGUUCAGAACCUGCGUUUCAGCAAGAGCUCGAGUGAUUCAGGCAGGUCACUGCACUGCUAGAUUGCUGGUGAGACAGCAGCCACUGCUCCCAGGCCCGACAACAGGGGCAGCACCAAAGCUGGUCAGUGUUUCCUCCUUACAGGUCUGAAGGUGCUGCAGAGGAGGGUGCUUCCCAGAGAUCACCCCUGUGACAGACAGAUCGAUUGAAGGACCCCUGAAUGGCUGAAUUGAGAAGAACAAGCAUAUUAGGAGGCCAUACAAUGGGAGCCUCUCAGGCAGACAGACAAAGCCGUGGAAACUGCAGACUUAUUUGUAUGUUCUGCCCCACUCCAGAAUUUUGGCUCCUGGAGAGGAGGGGCCCUGAACUGGCAUUUUCAGUGAAGCAUCCCAGUGCCUUGAAUCCAGUAAGCAGCCAGGUGUCUGUUGGCUUCAUGGUUUAACAACCUACCAUUUGAAGAAUCGCAGAGAUGAAUUAAAAAGAGCCCCGGAGAGGCUCCCCGAUCCAGUUGCACUUCCUGCUUAAGCAAAGUAAAGAAAAACAGGAAUGAAAACAUAACCCAAUGGGUUAGUUCCAUGCUGGCCAUUGAUGAGGUUGCAGCCACCAUCAGAAGAAGGCCAAACGGUUAGAAAGACACGGCGGUGAGGAAGAUGAGCCUCAUUAUCGACUGUCACCUGCAGCCCUGCACAGGUGCUCAGAAUCUAACACUUGAUGGCUGGUUGAGAUUCCCGGAGUCCUAAUUAGGAAUGAGGAGUCAGGCUGGCAGGACCCAGGGAAAGCAAAAAGAGAAGGCAGAGAAGCUCCAAGUCUGCCUGUCUUCGUGAUCCAGAACACGUAGUCCUGCUGCACAAGUAACUCACAAUCUUCCUGUGUCCAGCUGUCAUUAGACCCUUGGCUGAUAGAAAAAUGCAAGUUAGCACACUGCAGCCUCGGUGUCGUC
Homo sapiens (human) is the source of this 1210-nucleotide long non-coding RNA. Ensembl annotates it as long intergenic non-protein coding RNA 2188. The record is from Ensembl. NCBI's taxonomy places the organism in Eukaryota, Metazoa, Chordata, Mammalia, Primates, Hominidae.